Molecule: non-coding RNA, 1841 nt
Organism: Poecilia reticulata (guppy)
Lineage: Eukaryota; Metazoa; Chordata; Actinopteri; Cyprinodontiformes; Poeciliidae
Source: RefSeq, a predicted model, not a curated record
AAAAAGAAAAAAUUAUUCCAAAAAUGAUCCGGGUGAGGUCGCACUAGAGACGAUUUAAACUAUCUCUGAUAUACAUAUGGCUCAGAUAGCAUUCGGGAGAACAAUAAACGACAUAUAAAAAAAAAGAACCGACAACAAAACGCGUCCAGCACGUGUAAGCUGAUCAUCUGCUAAUCAACUCAUACGUUCAGAAAUGACUGCUUGUUGUCAUGCAAAACUGUUAGUUCAAACAAGAAAGUGCUCAACGAACGCCCACCUGCCACCGAGCAUUCACUUUAAAAGAAACAAUAUCCUAAUCAAAUUAAUCAAGAAUCAAUGAUCAAAUCUACUCUGCACAUGCGCAAACAGAGUCGCUCUCCCCUCCCUCUCUCUGACCCGAUCAUUCCUCAUGAUUAAUGCUAAUUCUAAUGACAGCAGCCCUGUCAGCUGGGCGCUCACAUGUAGUGCCUUCAGGAGUCGCUCUCGUUACAAGAGGCGCACCAGCACCACGGAGGUGUGCCGCAGAGAGCAGAUGAGGGUGUGUGACAGAGUCUGUGUGUCCAGACAGACUCCACCCCGGCCUCGCUUUCCUGUCGCCCGGCAACCCUUUAAGACACAACAAUGAACCAUCCACAGCCCGAAGGAAGAAGCCGACAGUCACAUGAACAGCGGCAGUCACAGCCGCUGCUGAGGAAUUUUGUUCUCCUUACCAAAAAAAAAAAAAUGUACCCUAAUAAUCAGCAGUGUUAACAAUUAGUCCUCUGUCCCGGAGAGCUUGGAGACAUUCUUACCCACUCGGCCUCUUCUGUGGUUCACUGCAGUGCAAUGCCUAAUUAUAGCAGCGGAGUUGGCAAACACCGGAUCACCGGCACAAGUUCGACAAUGUUGUUUCAACAGGCUCGUGUUAUGUAACCGUCAGAUCUGGGCAGCAUUAAAGAACUCCUCGUGAGUCUCUGGGACCGUGAUGAAGAGCCUUCAUAAACUUCUCAUGAGAUCAACAGGAAAUGUCUUGACCAUAGGACUCCUGCCUUUCAUGCUGCCCCUUUGAAGUCCCUUUUGUCAGGCCCAUCAAUUGCUCUUUUUGACAAACAAGGAAAAGUUGUAGGGAACGUUGAGUCUCACACAUGUUUACCUCUCUCUUCUGAGAAAAAAAAAAGUAGCCAAGCGAGUGUGUAUGCCUGAUGGGGGGAUGGUAGUGCCAAAGCCGCUGUGAAUCAGGCCUGAAUACAUUAGGGCCACUCUCUUUAAAAGUGUGCCAAAGAGUUCAUAAGACGCCCCUCAAAGAGCGCAAUAAUGGGCUUCAAUGCUUUCCAUCUGCAGAGGGAGAAAGAACUGUGACUGCACGUGCUGCGAAUGGUGGCCUCAACAACCAAGCGGUUUAUGGCCGUCGGAGGCGUCAUAAAACUGAUUGUUGGAUUAAGAUGUGGACAUUGGAUGGAGAAGCUACGAUUCAAAAUGUGAUGUAAACAAAAUCAGAGAAAGCCACUGCACACAGGAGGUGCUCUGCCUUGAGAAAGUUUUCUUGAACCUGUUCACAUUUUGUGUCAAAAAAAAGUUAGAGCUGAGUGUGGGAAUGAACAUCACAACCCAAAUUACGUGCGUUCUAAUUGCAUGUCGAAAAUGGAUUUGGAGCGGGAAGCGACAUGUUCGCUAGUACCACGUGUGCCAGUGGUUUAAUGUGAUACAAGUAAUCAGCAGGGAUAAUAAACCUGAUACUUUUAGUACCUGUUAUACAUCUGGUAAAAACAAAUUACAGGGAUGUGGGCCGCAUCAGCAGCAGAAUCAUUGAAUUGAAUUGAAUUGAAUUAUUGUAUCACUUUGUACAGACAUUAAGUGCAAUAAUAAAAUUUUUUAGAAAAAGU